CACCGACGUCCACUAAUGGCCUUCCUUUAAUAGGCGAAGACUAAUCAUAUUUUACAGUGCUUUCUCCUUUUUACGAGUUUAGGAAAUAACCCUUAUAAGUCUCACACCACUCUUGAAUGAUAUAACACUUAGAAAGGGAGGAGGAGUACUUUAGCACUUUUACAAUACUUUAACACUUCGAAGACUCAAGAUUAUGCCAAUACUUU
This 206-nucleotide long non-coding RNA is filed under the name Musa acuminata (dwarf banana). RNAcentral's name for it is "long non-coding RNA (MACU_LNC002026)". Lineage: Eukaryota; Viridiplantae; Streptophyta; Magnoliopsida; Zingiberales; Musaceae. The record is from RNAcentral.